GCAGGGGAAGAGUUUGGAAGGAUUUAAUUUGACAAAAGCCACAGAAGAAGACAGAAAAACACAAGCAGAUUUUCUCAGAGCCCUGAAUCACCAAACUCAUCUGAGAACCCCGAACAC
This is a long non-coding RNA of Micropterus salmoides (largemouth bass), 117 nucleotides long. RefSeq lists it as uncharacterized. The transcript is spliced from 2 exons. NCBI's taxonomy places the organism in Eukaryota, Metazoa, Chordata, Actinopteri, Centrarchiformes, Centrarchidae. The record is from RefSeq and is a predicted model, not a curated record.